Molecule: ribosomal RNA, 426 nt
Filed under: Acinetobacter baumannii
Lineage: Bacteria; Pseudomonadati; Pseudomonadota; Gammaproteobacteria; Moraxellales; Moraxellaceae
Description: bacterial SSU rRNA
Rfam family: Bacterial small subunit ribosomal RNA
Source: RNAcentral
AUUGAACGCUGGCGGCAGGCUUAACACAUGCAAGUCGAGCGGAGAUGAGGUGCUUGCACCUUAUUUAGCGGCGGACCGGGUGAGUAAUGCUUAGGAAUCUGCCUAUUAGUGGGGGACAACAUUCCGAAAGGAAUGCUAAUACCGCAUACGUCCUACGGGAGAAAGCAGGGGAUCUUCGGACCUUGCGCUAGUAGAUGAGCCUAAGUCGGAUUAGUUAGUUGGUGGGGUAAAGGCCUACCAAGGCGACGAUCUGUAGCGGGUUGAGAGGAUGAUCCGCCACACUGGGAUUGAGACACGGCCCAGACUCCUACGGGAGGCAGCAGUGGGGAAUAUUGGACAAUGGGGGGAACCCUGAUCCAGCCAUGCCGCGUGUGUGAAGAAGGCCUUAUGGUUGUAAAGCACUUUAAGCGAGGAGGAGGCUACAUA